RNAcentral lists this long non-coding RNA (1099 nucleotides) under Homo sapiens (human). RNAcentral describes it as "non-protein coding lnc-SPRED2-1:7". Lineage: Eukaryota; Metazoa; Chordata; Mammalia; Primates; Hominidae. The record is from RNAcentral.
AUGGAUUCAGAAACUACUUAGGAGAGGCAGGCAGUCCAAGGCUGAUGCCCAAAGAAGCCAUCAAGACCCGUGCUACUUCCAGCUCCUUCUGUCCUCAUAAUCAUAGAUGAUUGCUCCACAUCCAGCACCUAACACCAGUACUCAGUUAAAUUUUUUGCUGAAUAAAUCAAUGAAUGGAGAGGUAAAGAGGAACCAGAAGUUGGGGUUACAGAAGUCACUGAUGGAAGAGUUUCAAGAUAGUAGAAGUGGUCAGCCCUGUUAAGUGACAAGCCAAGGACUGAAGAAAGACUGGCAGAUUUGGCAAUCAGAUGAAGUGACCUGACCAAAGAGCAGCUUGUGUGAAGUAGUGAGGACAGGCGCUGGUCUGCGACUGGUUUAGGAGGAAAUGGAAAUGAAGAAGAAGAGAUAGGAAAGUGGAGAUUAUAUGAUGACAAGUAUCAAGAUAAAAAUGAACACAUUUGGCCUGCUACCUGAAUUUUUUAAAUCGGCUCACCAAAAAAUAUCAGGCUUAUUGAAAUAUUGGAAUAUCUGAUGAAGUUUCCUCUUAUCUUUGAGCUGUUUGGGUUUGGGUAAAAUUUCAAUGCUUAAAAUUCACGUCUACAACUAGCAGGCAGAACCUUAAAGUCCAGAACCAUUAAAGGGUUUAAUAAUGAGUCUCGCUCAGUUUCCAGGCUGGAGUGUAAUGGCGUGAUCUUGGCUCACUGCAACCUCUGCCUCCCAGCUUCAAGUGAUUCCCCUGCUUUAGCCUCCCAAGCAGCUGGGACUACAGGCAUGCACCAGCAUGGCCGGCUAAUUUUUUUUUGUAUUUUAGUACAGAUGGGGUUUAACCAUGUUGGCCAGGAUGAUCUUGAUCUCCUGACCUCGUGAUCUGCCCACCUCGGCCUCCCAAAGUGCUAGGAUUACAGGCGUGAGCCACCUUGCCCGGCCUUCUAUUCCUUUUUCUAAUGCAUUUGCCCCAGCUAUCUGUAUAGCCUGCAAUCUGGUAGAUGGACCACAGGGAAACCACUGCAGCAAACUAAAAGUGUCUAUCUCAGAUCCUUCCACCACCAUCAUUUCCAAAAUCACCGUCACUAUCUCCACCACCAUCACCUUUACCACC